This 1207-nucleotide long non-coding RNA is filed under the name Fukomys damarensis (Damara mole-rat). RNAcentral's name for it is "lncRNA (ENSFDAG00000029927.1)". Lineage: Eukaryota; Metazoa; Chordata; Mammalia; Rodentia; Bathyergidae. The record is from RNAcentral.
CAGGCAGAGACAGAGAGAGAGAGAGAGAGAGAGAGAGAGAGAGAAGGGAAGAAGGGAGAGAGCAAGAGCAAGGGGGGAAAGCCACAGUGGUAGGCAGUCCCACUUUGAGCACUGUGAGGUCACAAACCACAUGAUUCUGUCUCUCCAGUAAUAGUGCUUGCAAAAAAAGGAGUUUUAAAGCUUUUGCUUUUUUGGAUUGUGUGAAUGCUUCAUUCGCCUCACAAACAACCACAGAACCACAAGUGCGGUGCAAACUUUCUCCAGGAGGACAGCAAGUCGUCUCUGGUGUUUAAAUGGUUAAUCUCCGCAGGUCACUACCAGCCACGGAGACCAACAGAGUCAUCUAAGGCUGCAAGCAGUAUUUACAACAGAGGGUACAAGUUCUAUCUGGAAAAAAAAAGAGGGACUAUGGCAUCAAACAGCCUCUUCAGCACAGUGACACCAUGUCAGCAAAACUUCUUUUGGGAUCAUGAUCAGAAAAAUCCUCCAAUGCCAUCUGUUUUACAAGCCCUUCAUGAUGUCACUUUCCUUCAGAAGCAGAGAUUUUUGAGAGAAGCAUUCCAUCAGACAGGCAGCACUUAUCACCUCUUGAAAAAUAUAGAGUAUAAUACAGCCCACACUAGCGACAGCUCCAGGUAAUGGGAGGACCUAAGUUAACAGGUAACUCUACAAAGGCAAAGUAAUGAAGAGUAAAAAAAGGGUAAGAUGUAACCAAGAUGGUUUAGGACACAGUGAAUGAGUGACUGAGUGACCAGACAUACACAGCAGAGGUGAGCAAAGGUGAAAAUGUAUGACAGAGGAGUUGUACUUCUUAAAAGAUUGCAGGAAAACCAAUGAGACUCGCAGAAGCUUCCUGAUAACCCCUGACUAAUCACACUGCCUCUUAUCUCUGUAAAUAGCACUUAAAAUAUAUUAAAUAUAUUCUCUAUAAACUAUAUUGUAUAAACACUGAUACACACAUAAUUAUAUUAGAAUGUAGGAUUUUUAUAGACUAAAAAAUGAAGCUGGUCUUUUAUUAACCACUAUAACCACCAUUCAAAAAUAAGAAUAAAUGAUUUAAAAUUAAGAGAGUAAGUUGGCUAAUUUUUACAUAGUGCCGACAGCACAAUUUUACAUUCAUGCAAGAAAAACAAAGAAAACAGGAGUUUUUUGGAGUCUCCAAUUAUAUACACUAGUUAACUAACCGACUCAUUAGUCAGCUGUUUUG